This 253-nucleotide ribosomal RNA is filed under the name uncultured bacterium. RNAcentral's name for it is "partial 16S ribosomal RNA". It matches the Rfam family "Bacterial small subunit ribosomal RNA", at positions 524 to 776 of the family's 1533-position model. The record is from RNAcentral.
UACGUAUGGUGCAAGCGUUGUUCGGAAUCAUUGGGCGUAAAGGGUAUGUAGGCGGAAUGAUAAGUCAGAAGUGAAAACUACGAGCUCAACUCGUAGCCUGCUUUUGAUACUGUUAUUCUAGAGUCUGGAAGGGGCAAGUGGAAUUCCUGGUGUAGCGGUGAAAUGCGUAGAUAUCAGGAGGAACACCAGUGGCGUAAGCGACUUGCUGGUCUAAGACUGACGCUGAGAUACGAAAGUGUGGGGAGCAAACGGG